RNAcentral lists this long non-coding RNA (24653 nucleotides) under Solanum tuberosum (potato). RNAcentral describes it as "long non-coding RNA (STUB_LNC006715)". The record is from RNAcentral. Lineage: Eukaryota; Viridiplantae; Streptophyta; Magnoliopsida; Solanales; Solanaceae.
ACCUGAGAGGUGAUCUUGUGAACAAGAUCAUCAUAGUCUGGAAGAGUGAGGGGAUCUUGUAUUGGAAAUGGAAUAAAUUCGUAAGGGAGAGCAUAUGGCAAAGAUAGGAUGACUUCUUUGAAGACAUCUGCACAGAAACCAGUUGCUGUUACUGCUUGUGUUUUUGAAUCUCUUUCCACUUUAAUGAGUUGCUCCAGCCCUCCUUUGAGAGGAACUCCAACCCUUAACUUCUUCCCACUUGUGGGCAUUUCCCAGCCUCUUGGAACAAUAGUUGAUUCACCAGGCCAAAAAAUGGCUCCUAGUUGCUUAUUAUUACACUUAACUGCUGUUUUACCAUUCAUCUUCAGUUUACACGAAAUGCCAUCCCUCUUCGUCCAAAAUCCAAUGUUUUUCUCUCCUUUCCCAAUUAUAUUCACAAUCUGAUAUGGGAUUGGCUGCAGUUCUCCAUUGAUGAUACGGAAAUCACCACUUAAUCCUUGUUUUAGCACUGUGUUUCGCAUAGAGUCAAUGAGCAGAGAUCCCACUGCUGACGUUCCAAGUGCAUCUAAGUCUGUUAAGUUCUCUCUGGUGUCUGGUUUCUUUAAUUUUGGGAUAGCAGUAGUGCCUACUUUAUCUACUGCUUCUGCUAAUGAGGUGAUGCUAUCGUAUGCCCAUAGCCCAAAAACAUUGAGUUCUAUUUGGUCCAUGUCUGGAUACUCUUGACGGAAUCUCUUUCUCCAUCUCUUUGUGUAGUUGUUAAGCUGAUUUGAUCUUGGAAUGUAAGGUUUUAUACCAAGAACACCUUGCAUUGAUGACUCGAUCACUGAAUGAUCUACCAAGUCCAGAAGACUCGUUAGCACAUCUGUGAUGAUCCAUGCAUAUCCACUGCUCAUCAUCCCUGCUUCUUUGGCCUUGAGAAAAAGGCGGGAGGCAAGAUAUGGACGCAAGUGCACGACGAACACCCUUGUUUGCUUUGUAUUCAUAUUGUAUAACUCCUUGAGAAUCUGAUCAUCAUUGGCUGACGGAGAAAUAACACUUCUAUAGGAGACUAAAGUGCUGAUUUCCAGUAAGGCAUCAGUCAAAUGUGGAACUAUCCCGAACCCAUAGGGGCUAUCCUCAUAGAUGACCACAACCUCCCUCCAAUCAAAGUUUUUAACAAGUGCUGCAAUGGCCUUAGUCUGGCUGGAAGAAGGAAGUGCUGCUCUGAUGAAGAAGGGAUUUUCCUUGACUGUAAGUAAAGGACUUGUUGCUGGAGAAAUGAUUGGGACUUUUACUCUGUUCCCUAAGUCGAUCACAAAAUCAGUUUGUGUAGACAUUUGUGGCCCAAAGAUAGCUUGUACUUGGACAUCCUUUAGCAAGUAUAUGGCUGCACAUACACAAUCAGACAAUAAGAAUUUACCCAAAGUAAGAGUUUAAUAGAAGUGAAUCAUGGAACUGAAUUUACCAGCAGAUGUUGCUUCAACAUCAUCUUUCUUGGAAUCCUUGAUAUGAGGAACUAUCCUUAUGGCACCGCGACUAGCGUUGGCAUGAUAAUCUUCAAGUGCUAGUAAGAUAGAUAUGUGCAUUACUUUUCCCACAUCUGUUUCCAGAUCAAGAAUUAUACCCACAUCCACCUUUACAGCACUAGUGUUAUUAUCUUCACCUCUUAUUCGAACCACAUAGUGGUAAAAGCUAAUGAUGGAGAUAAGUUGAAAUGAAAAGAAUUAGAAAAGUGGCAUCUUGGAUUAUGCAUUUGAAAAAACUCUGGUAGCAAGUAGUCUGAGAGAUGGGCAACAAGCAGUUGUGCUUGUGCAAGAUAACCACACAUUCAGAAUGACAAUUUUCCUAUAAUUAAUAAGACCAAACUCCAUAAAUGAAGAAAGAAAAGUCAAAGAACAAAUGGUUGAAAAUCAAGUAUUCGUUUGAUUAUUGAAAGUGAGGACUUUUCACAUAUGCUACAACCGCACAGCUAGUAAGCAUAUUACCCCUCAGGUUUGACUAAAUAAAAAUUUGACAAAAUUGAUUGGUACUCAUUCCCCAACACCCAAUUACUUUUUGUGUGUACUAUCUAGAGGAUAUAUUCAAGGGAACUUACAUGAAUUCAACUAAUUUAGGAGUUAAUUACUUAAAUACAUUGUAGUUUGCAAUAUUACGUAUUUUACUAGAUUUUGGUAUGUCCAGAUACAUUCAGAUACAUAUAUGUGAGGUUACUUAGGAUCAAAAUUAGGUGUAAUUUGCUCUAGAUGCAUUGUAUCUAAGUGACUUUGCAUGUAUCUGGGAUACAUAACAAAUCUCGCUCGCCUCUCUCCCAUCUCUCACUCUCCUAUGUAUCUGAUAUUCCAUAUACAUGUGAAUCACACCAGAUACAUACACAUAAAUGUAUCUUAUGUGUAUAUAGUGUGAUUCGCAUGUAUCUGGGAUACAUAACAAAUCCCGCUUGCCUCUUUCCUCAUCUCGUUCCCCUAUCUUCCUAUUUUUGUGUAUCUGAUGGCAAAAAUUCAUGUAGCCAAAUGUAUUUUCCUCAAUAUAUGAUAGGAAACUCUUAAUUAGUGAUAGUAUACGAAAUAUUUUAAAAGUAUAGAAUAUAAUAGUAUAUAUGAUAGUGAAGUAUGUCUAAUGAUAUAGUUUUUCUGUAUUGAAAGGACUUCCCAAAUUUUGGCUGAGGCAUAAAAAGUUGACAAAUUUAGCUCAGUUACAAAUUCCACAAUUAAACCAAUAAGUAGAAGAGACCAUUGUUUUCCAACUUGGACAAGGCUAGAUACGACUAGUAAUCUUUAGUUUACGCGUUUUCAGUUACUAGUCUUUGGACACGUGCGUUGCACGUAUAUCCCAUAUUAUAUGGUUGCAUAAUAUAUGUCUAUAGUUACAAAUAUAUGUAUAAAAAAAAAUUGAUUGUGAUAUAAAUUGGAAAACAUGUAUAAGAUAAGAAAUCAAAACAGAUACCCUCAAAUUUCAAACUAUAAGCAUAAUAAGAAUAUGUAUUUCUAAUGAGUUUAAUCAAUCAUACCUUGCAAUAAUCUCUGCAAUUCAUUGAGAAACUUUCAAUCCAUACAUCAACAUUCAAUCGUGUAUAUAUAAAGAAAACUUGAAAUGCAUAACAACAAUUAUAUCUAUAUUUUUUAAAACACUAUAAAGUCAUUUUUUCUUUUUGCAUUAUAAUAUGGAUUGCACACAAUUUCUAUUAAAAAAAAGAAAGACAAAAUUAGGAAAAAUCGUAUCAAUAAAUUGGAAUGAAAAAUGUAAAAUUGUAAUAAGAGGAAGAGAAGAAAAAUACAGUAGAAUAUAUUACCUAACCAUGAAUAAGGAAGUAUGUUGAGUAAAAGAAGAGUAAUGCAAAAGUGUGAACUGAUAUAUGGAGGAAAUUGACAAAUAUAAUAAUCUAUAUUGAAUAAUGAAAAACAACUCUUCAAUUUCUGCAAAAAUUUUAUAACUACGAGCUCAAAAUAAUAUAAAUUUAUUAAUUUAAUAAAUGACAUAAAUAAAUAAAUAACAUAUAUUGUGUGUAUGUGUAGUUAAUGGGGUAGUGAAAAAGACUCUUUCUGAAAUUAUUUUUAUCUCUUUAAAGUAAUUUUGAACUUUUGAUAUUAGUGCUAUAGAAAAUCAUAUAAAGUCAUAAGCCACUGCAAGUUUUUAUAGUAAUUAUCUUAUUAAAUUAUAUACCUAUUAUUAUUUUUAAUUAUUUAUAAUCAUUCCGAAAAUGUAUAAAUUAAUUUUGAAAAGCUUGUAAAAUGAGAAAUUAUUAUUUCUUAUCAUUAUUUUAGCUAUUAUUAACAUUUAGUAUGACAACAUUUUAAAAAAGCAGCUUCCUUUAAAUAUUAAUUGUUUCUAAAUUAACAUAGCCAAGAAUUUAAAAUGUUGUGACGUUUUGUUUAUCUAAACACGCAGAAUUUUGUUUUUGAACCUGGAACAUGUAAUUAAGCCUUGGGUGAAUUAUAAUUUUAUUUUUACUAUUUAAUUAAUUAAAUAAUUUGUAACAUUUUAAUAUAAUGAAGGGGUAAAAUGGUAACUCAACUUUAAAGGUUGGAGCUUCCCACUUUUAGUAAUAUAUGAUAAAUUGGUCAGUAGUAGUAACCUAGUUUAAUUUGAUAUAAUAACAUUCAUGACAAAAUAAAUUAAAUAUGGCUAAUUAAGAAAAUAUAAUUAAAUAUGAUUAUCUUUAAUGUUAUUUAAAUUUGUAGGCGAUUUUUUUUGUAUUUUAAAAUUAAAAAAAGGCCAAAAAACCCACAAAAAGAGAUAAAUAGGAUUGAAGCCCUUAGAGAGCGUCACCUCACCGUUUUCAUAUUCAACUUUAUUAUUAUAUAUGGAUUUAGAUUUUUGCACAACCUUAAAUUUAAGGACACAUUUAGAUAUUAUAUCAAACAUUCAUUUAUUUGAAGUUGAAAUUACAUUUUACAUGAAAAUUGGAUAUUCCAUAUUCACAUUGAGUAUGAAUCUUUUUGUUUUUUUUACAAAAUUCAAAAUAAAAAAAUACAAAACAUAAACUUAUAGAUCAAAUUUUACAUUUGACAUUUGAAAGUUUUACUUUUCAUUAAACGUUUUGUUAUAGAAUUUGGAAUCGCCCUUUGAAAUUAGUAUUUAUAAAUGAAAAUAUUGAUCUAGUCCUGUUGAAAUUGUGUCUGGCCUAGUACUUUUUCUUAUUAGAGUGAUUAUUGAAUUAGGUUUAAUAUCAAUUUUCUUAAUUAGUUUUGUCAAUUGGCAGUGCUAAGAAGAUGGGAAUUUACGUUAUAUUAAAUUAUCUUUACAUUAAUAAAAAAAGAAAUUGUUGUUAGUAUUAUUUGUAAUAUAAUUAAACAAAAAUAACAAUGGGAAGAAAAUAAUAAGUAAAGAUUACACGUUGUAUUAAAAUAAUAAGUAUUAAAAAUUAUGAUAAAUUUUAUAAUAGUCAUAACAGGAAUUUACGCAAUAAUUACUAUAUUAGAAUACUAGAAAAAUUGAUAAGUUCCUCGACAUCUAAUCAUUGAUUAAAAUUUAAAUUAUUAUUUUCUUCUGCGAAAGUUUAAGAGAUUAAAUUAAUGUUUUAAAAAAUAAUAUUAAUUAUUUUCAAUGAUUAAUAAGAAAAUGUAUAUAGCAAGUACAUGUAUUAUUAUUACAUUAUUUAUAUCCACUCUAUAUUAAAUCAUUUUUCUAUUAUAGUUUGACGCAAAUUUCAGAAUGUAAAGAAUGUUUUGGAUUCGAAAAAUAAAUAUUCAAAAUAUACUAACAUGUCAUUUAAUCUUAUGAUAUUUUACAUUUCAUGUGAAAAAAAAUUAAAUAUUAAUUUUUUAAUAUGAAAAAUAUUAAUUUAUUAAUACAACAUAAAAGUAAUAAAGGACAAUAUAUAAAAAUAUUUGAAGUAUUUGAUAUUUUAUUAAAUUAAAAUAAUUCUAAAUUAAUAUAUAGCCGCGCAACGCGCGGGUACGUAUACUAGUGAAGAACAAUAAUAAAGAAGAAGACAAUUGAGUUAAUAUUUAUUUUUUCCAAGUUUAAUUUAACACAUGACCAGUUUUUAUUGGUCAGUGCUGUCAAAAAGUUGCACCCACGCGCCUAAAAUAGGUGAAAUCACGGACUCAGCCACGUAGGCCAAAAAGUGGUAAACAAUUAACUAAAAAAUAAGUUCAGGGGGGUAAUAGGACUUUAGUAAAGGUUAGGUGUGUCUCAGGGAUUUUGGGCAUAGGCUGGGGGGGUACUUAUGCAUUUUCCCUUAUGUUAAAUAUACCAAAAUGUUUUUUAAUCUUAUGACUUUAAACAUGUCACGUGAAAAACUGAAAUUAAAGUGUUGCCAAAAAAAGAAGGGUCAUUUUUUUUAAACAGACUAAACAGAAAAGUAGAUCUUUUUAAAACGGAAGGGAAGUAAUUGUUAAUGCAAGAGGAAGCUGCUUGAAAAGUUACGUAUAUGAUGUUGAAGUUGUCUAACAUGCAAUGCUGGUCCUAUAAUCUUUCAUUAUUUAUUAUCCAUGACUAUGGGUGGAUAAUAAUAGUUAUCUGCUAUGAUCAUAUAUACCUAGGGGUGGACAUAUUACUUAGAAAACUUAUGUUAGGUAAUUUUGAUUUCUAAAAAUACUAUAUGGUGUAUGCUAUUUGCAGAUGAUAGUCCUAAUCGACCAGACUCGUAAUAGAGUUAAUGUUAAGCUAGAGAAGAUAAUAAUGGCUCCCUUCUCAAAUAUUUCAUUGGUAGAAAUUUGCCUUCCAGAAUUUCAUAAUUGCAUCUGAUCCUUUCUGAUAACUCAAAGGGCAUCUUAAAUUGGUGCGGAAGUUUAAUUUUGACAUGGAACGCAAAUAUAUGCGGAAAAUUAGUAAUUCAAUAAAUAUUUAAUUAUGAAUGCAUAUUACAAAAGUGCAAGGAAUUCAAUUGUAAGAUGUUGAAGGUUAAACCCAUAAAUUCUAAAUACUAGAGACGCCUCUUAAUGCAAAUAUAAUAUGGUUUAACUAUUUUAAACCUGGCUCAUCUCUCUUAAGUUGUCCCUGUAAUGUUUUCAUGAACUGGAGUUCCAGGUUCUGUUGUAGAGAACCCUUCAAGUGCAGGGGAUGCUCCUAAGCCGUCGGAAAUUCUGAUUUCUGGGCUUUGCAAAGGAAGGUGGGGCAAUAUUUCAGUAGAGGCUUCACUUUCUGCAAACAGCAUAGCUGUUUGGAUUUCAUUGCCUUCAGAUGGCUCUUCUGACAUAGAAUUAGAGUUGUCUCUCUCUUUAUCAAAGGCAUUUGCUAUUGCAGAAAGCUUUUGCCAUACUGAAUCAUCAGUGGCUAAGAUUUCUCUAUUCUGAUAAAGGAAGAUGAGGAAGAAUAGGAGAAGAGCGGAGCCCGCUGAUACACCAGCUAUGAGGAAAAGGCCCUUAAAACUAUCGAGCAUGAGGCUAGAUGCUAUAGCCAUUCCAUCUUGCUUUGGACAAUCUGUUUCAUUCCCAAACCAUUUCUGUAUUAUGUUAUUCAUAAACUCUCCUUCCAUCACCUGCAAGACUGCUCUUGAGACGUCAGGUACCAAAGGAGAUCCUUUUGGAAAUGCCUGCCAGAAGUUGGGGGAAAAUAAAAGAUUAAAUUAUUGAGUAGAACAUAAACCAUUCUAAACAAAUGUAAACACGUUCUGAAACAUCACUGGAGUGCAACAUUCUUACGAAUCCAAAGCCAGCAGCCUUGUAUGUCGGACCGACCAUAAUAUACUUCCUGCAAUACUUGUUGAGGAAGAGUCUGAGAUAAGGUAGUUCAUCAACAAUUGCACCAACACCUCCAUUUUUACUUCCUCUUGAGAGGGCAUUACUAUACUCUUCCAAUGUGCUAUAACUUAUGAACUUGGAACUGUCAAACUUCAUGUGCUUCAAGACAUCUUUGACAAAGGAACCUUCUUGGUACCCAACAUAUUCUCCAUUCUUGAUCAGAUCAUUGAGGUCAGUUAUAGAAGGUUGGAGCUGUUGCACUGUCAACAUAGAUGUUAAGUUGGCUGUAUAACUUGAUGUCAGCACCAGAACCACGAAAACCCACACAAUCAGCACAAAUCUUGUGAAGUUACUAGUAACCCUCUCUCCUGAAACAACCAGCCAUAUAUAUGAUUUGUUGAGAAACAAGGAUAAAUCCUAAAGCUUUUUGUAUAUAAUUUGCUUUGUGUUAGAGACUUACUAUGAGCAAAAACGAGAGUUGAGAAGGAAAACCAGAAUAUCAUCCCAACUUGCUUGUGUUUGGGUCCUCGAAACUCUUUGUUUACACGAUGUUCAAGUACCCAAACCACAAAACCAAUGAAGAUGAAGAAUCCUCCUGUUGUUAUCCAAAGCUCGCUCUUUAGAGGUUUCAAGAAAAUCCAAGCAUUCUUUCUAUCAUCAUUCUUUACCGACACAACAGCAGAAAUACCGGACUCUGAAAAAGGUAAUGUGAAAUCCACAUACUUGGCUCGGCUCGCUAAAAUGGUCACAUCACCUACAACUGCAUCAUAUUCCUGGUUCAAGCAAACAACGAUUAUUUUAGUAUAUAUGGUUGAUCUCAGUCAAAGAAGAAAGUAGAUAUGGAAGUCCCGGAAAGGAGCAUGUAAGGUAUUCAGCCAAAAAGGUUAAUUCAAAAAAGAAUUGGAUAUUACCUUUGAGGAGAUCUUGUAAACAAGAUCAUCAUAGUCUUGAGAAGUGGGGCUAACUAUUGGAAAUGGAAUAAAUUCGUAAGGGAUGGCGUAUGGCAAAGAUUGGAUAACUUCUUUGAAGACAUCUGGAAUGAAACCAGUUGCAGUUACUGCUUGUGUUUUGGCAUCUAUUUCCACUUUAAUGAAUUGCUCCAGCCCUCCUUUGACAGGAACUCCAACCCUCAACUUCUUCCCACUUGUGGGUAUUUCCCAGCCUCUCGGAACAAUAAUAGAUUCACCAGGCCAAAUGAUGGCCGCUAGUUGCUCAUUCAUACUCUUAGCUGUUUUACUAUUCAUCUUCAGUUUAUGCGAAAUGCCAUCCUUCUCGGUCCAGAAUCCAAUGCUUCUCUCUCCUUUCCCAAUUAUAUUCACAAUCUCAUAUGUGUAUAGCUGCAAUUCUCCAUCAAUGAUACGGAAUUCACCACUUAGUCCUGUUUUUGGCUUUGUAUUUCGCAUAGAGUCAAGGAGCAGAGAUCCAAAUUCUGAGGUUCCAAGUGCAUCUAAGUCCGUUAAAUUCUCUCUAGUGUCUGCUUUCUUGAAUUUUGGGAUGAUGGUAGUGCCCACUUUUGCUAUUGCUUUUGUUAAUGCGGUGAUGCUAUCAUAUGCCCAUAGCCCGUAAACAUUGAGUUCAACUGGGUCCAUGUCUGGAUACUCUUGACGGAAUCUCUUUCUCCAUCUCCUCGUGUAAUUGUUAAGCUCAUUUGAUCUUGGAAUAUAAGGUUUUAUACCAAGAACACCUUGCAUUGAUGACUCAAUUACUGAAGUAUCUACCAGGUCCAGAAGACUCGUUAGCACAUCUGUGAUGAUCCAUGCAUAUCCACUGUUCAUCAUCCCGGUUUCUUUGGCCUUGAGGAAAAGGCGGGAGGCAAGAUGUUCUUGCAAGUGCACAAUGAACACCCUGGUCUGCAUUGUCUUCAACUUGUAUAGCUCCCUGAGGAUUUGAUCAUCAUUGGCUGAAGGAGAAAUACCACUUCUAUAGGAGACUAAAGUAUUGAUUUCCAGCAAGGCAUCAGUCAAAUAUGGAAGUAUCCCGGUUCCAUAGGGGCUUUCCUCAUAGAUUACUACAACCUCCCUCCAAUUAUAGUUUUUAACAAUUGCUGCAAUGGCUUUAGUCUGACUGGAAGAAGGAAGUGCGCCUCUGAUGAAGAAGGGAUUUUCCUUGACUGAAAGUGAAGGACUAGUUGCUGGAGAUAUUAUAGGAACUUUAACUCUGUUCCCCAAGUCGAUCACAAAAUCAGUUUGUGUAGACAUUUGUGGCCCAAAGAUAGCUUGCACUUGGACAUCCUUUAGCAAGUAUAUGGCUGCACAUACACAAUCAGACUAUAAGAAAUUGUCUGAACAUCUCUUUUUCAAAAUAGGAAAAGUAAUAUCUUAGAGAAAAAGUGAAUCUUUUGAAGCAAAGAGAGAAAAAUAAUCCUAGUUUAACAUAAGUAAAGCUUAGAGCUGAAUUUUACCAGCUGAUGCUGCUUCAACAUCAUCUUUCUUUGAAUCCCUGAUAUGAGGAACUAUCCUUAUGGCACCGCGACUAGUGUUGGCAUGAUAAUCUGCAAGAGCUAGUAAGAUAGAUAUGUGCAUUACUUUUCCCACAUCUGUUUCCAGAUCAAGAAUUAUGCCCACAUCCACCUUUACAGCACUAGUGUUAUUAUCUUCACCUCUUAUUCCAAUUACAUAGUGGCAAAAGCUAAUGAUGGAAACAAGUUGAAUGAAAAUAAUUAGGAAUUUGCAUCUUGGAUUAUGCAUUUGAAAAACUCUUGUAGAAAGUAAUAUGAGUGUUGGGCAAGAAGCAGUUGUGCUUGUGCAAGAUUUAUAACCACCAUUCAGAGAUGUGUUUAAAGGUAUCUUAACUAUAACUUUUCUACAAUUAAAUGAGACCAAACCUCAUAACUGCAGAAAGAAAAGUCAAAGUUUUCAAAGAAUUACAAAUGGUUUAAAAUAUACUAGUUUGAUUAUUAAAGAAAGAGGACUUUUCACACUUGUUAGACCACAAGCUAGUAAAGCCUCCUCAGUUUUGACCAAAUCAAUAAAUGACUAAAUGAACAUAGUGACAAAAUUGAUUUGUACUCAUUCUCCCAAUACCCAAAGAAGUUUUUGUAUUCAUUGGAUGACUAUCUAGAGGCUACUAAAAGGACUUCCCAUAUUUUGGCUAAGUCAUGUUGAAAGUUGAGUGCUAGCUCAGUUACAAAUAAGUAGAAGAGGUCAGUUUCUAUGACUUGGACAUUGGAAAAGGGCAGCUAUGACUAGUAAUCUUUAGUUUACUUAGACGGUUCAGUUUAGAAUUGGUCAGUAGUAUAAAACUUUAUGGUGGUAGAGGCACAACUUGUAGGGUUGUUCCGGGUUAUCGUUAAAAAAUCAAAUCAAACUUGUAGGGUUGUUUGGUUAGGUUUUAAAUUUUGAAAAUCAACACUAUUUGGUUUGGUUUGGUUUUAAAACUGUAAAAAUAACCAAAUUGAACGUGUAAUUAUAAUAAUUGCUUGAUUGAAUCCACAGUAACUUUCAUGUGUAUUGUUCAUGUACUAGGUGUCUGUGUUUAUAUGUCUUCAAAAAAAUUAUUACUUCCAAAACAAAAAAACAAAAAAAAUUGAACCAAACCGACAAUUAUUUUUUUAUUUGGUUUUAGAAUUUAGAAACCGACUAAAUUGAUCUGGCUUUGAUUUUAGCCAAUAAUCAAUCCAAAUCGAACCAUGAACACCUCUAGGCACAAAUAUAACUUGGUAUGUGAAGGAUUACUAUAAUACCUUUCCUUCAACUUUUUUUUAAAAAAAAAAAACCUCUAUUGGUAAAUUUUUCAAAUCAGUUUUUUUUACUCAUGAGCUCUAUUCCUUUCCCUUUUAUAUUUUUUAUAAUAUAAAAUAUAAGAUAAAAUAAAGAAUUUUUUUAAAAAGAAAUGAGAAAAAAAAUGAUGAAGAUGAGGGGUGAGGAGCUAAAGGAGAGAAGAAAGAUAGAACAUAAGAUGAGAAAGGUAGGGUCCCCAUAUUUUCUUUAUCAAAAAGUAAUUUCUUACCUACCAAAGUCAUAUUUAUGCCUCUACCACCACAAAUUUUUUCGUAUUAACUUGCUUGCAAGUUGCAAAACCAAACAAAGCAAGCAUACCCAAAUGGAGAUGGAAUCUUGGAAUGAGGAUGGUUGGGUAUACAUGUAGGUUUCAAUGUCAUUAUCUCAAUAUAUAUAUACUAGAGGGGCAUGGCCCGUGCUAAGCACGGGCCCAACAUAAACAUAGUUAGUCUAUUAUUCUCUAUAUAGGCAAAAUAUUGUUGGAAACUAUUCACUUAUAUAAGUAACUAAUUCAAGUUAUGUGUUUGUUAACAAAGUUUAUUCAUUCAAGCAUCUGCAAACUAUACACCAUACCAAACCACCAAUAAAGAAAAAGACAUGAAAUGUUAACACAAAUUAAACAACUUCAAAAGAAAGAAAGAAAAGAAGAAGAAUCAAGGAGGUGAAAGAACAUUAAAAUUUUGCAGUCUUAUCAGUCAAAUUCUAGUGGUGUCACAACUUUCACAGGGACCAUCAACUCUUCAACUUUUUGUACAUAUUUGCUUUUCAGUGCCAAUAAAUUAUUAUCUGUCGUUCCUGCAAGUUUUUGGAAAAAGUGUAUCAACAAUUGAUGCUAAAGAUCAUAUACUUUGUUUUGUAUUUUAUUUUACCAAGUAAAAAAGUCAGUAAUUGAUAUACCUAAUUUACUGCACUUAAGACAUUCUAGCUUCUAAAUCUAAUAAAACAAUACUAAUGAACACUUUUAAAUAAAUGAAAGAUGAUGGUACCUAAGGGAUGGAGUAAAUGAAUCAUGUGAAGUAAGCAAAUUGAAGUCAAAGUGAAUGUGUCAAUUACGUGGCCAUUAUAUCAAAUAUUUGUCAAUUCUAACCAAAAAGAAAUUGUUAGACAGUAAAUUUGUAAAACUUUAUAGAAAAUGACCUUUUAUUUUGUCUAUUUUGCCCUUUCAUGUGCUCCUUCAUGUCGCUUCCCCUUUCCAUUUUGUCGUCCCUCUCAUCUCAAUUCCCGUUUUGUUGUCCUCUCUUCCCAAUACUAUUUUUAUCCAGCUUGAUCUGGAAAAGAGGUAACUGACAUAUUAGUGUACUUAAUUUGGAACAAAAUCACUUGGAGAACAAUAAAGUAGGUAAUAAACACGAACAAUACUUAGACUCUGAAGUCUUGGUGAUAGUUAAGUAGUAGAAUGAGGAAGAGAUUAUACAAAUCAAUAGAGUUCAAACAACAACAUAUCUUAUCAAAUCUUAUCACUACCUCGUGGAGGUAGAGGUACUCUUUCCGAAAGAUCAAAUCACUGAUCUCGAUAGUUAUUGUUGAGUAGUUAAUACAUAAAUCUCUCCAGAGUAACAAAAAAAGGGCAGAUAGGGAUUAAAAGAAAUUAAGAAAAUGAAAUACGAUGCUACAUUUCUCAAGAGUUAAAAAGAGGGACAACCAAUUUGAGUAGUAGAUUCAGGUUGAUGGUGAUCUACUAUACAACUAAAUGGUGCAACAACUCAAAAUCUCAAGGAAAACAAAUCAAGACAUUCUUGCAAAUUAAAGGCACUAAUAAAACUGCGGCAGAAAUUCUCGUGACUGUGUGGUUCUAUAUGGAAAAUGACUUCCACAUGCUUGGUCUUAGCAAUACGCCAUGUGCACAAGGAAAAAUAUAUUAUAACCACGCGUUUCUUGUUACCGAUAAACAUGACUUAUGAGAAAGUCAGUUUUUAAGAGAAUUCGAAGAACAACAGGAUAAGAAACUACCCUUUCAUUUACUUUCUCAAACACUUAAUAAGGCUUCCGUUUUUUCAACAUUCUUGCAGAGUUGAUUGUGGAGAUCAACAAUUCAUCCAUUUGACCAUUAUCACUUGUAGACACACUAAACUGACAAAGAGUCUUAUAUCAGGGGUGUAUAAAUGAAAACCCCUUCUUUUCAUAUCUAUUUGAAUUGAUUAAACUUGUCGCACAACAAAUAGGAUCAACGUUUUCAGUAAUCAAAGGAAAGAAAAAAAUCUACAUCAAAGGCAUGUUAUAUGAAGUAUGUGAAAUAAGGAUUGUAGAAACGAAGGAGAAAUAAAGAUUUGAUUAGCUUACCAUUCAAAGUAAUUGUAGACAAACAAAGAAGAAGUGAAUAUUUGAUCACCGCUUACCGUUCAACUCAACUGUAGACAAACGAAGAAGAAGUGAUUGACCCUUAAUUUGGAAUCAAUUGAUUUUUUACUAUAUCUCGAUAAAAAAUUUAAUUUAUGUAACUCAUUUCUAUAUAAACAACCAAGAUGCUUAGAACAUACAUAACAUAUUCAAUGUGGCUUACUUCUAUAAAAAUCAUAAAUAAAAUAUAAAGGAAAGCUUCAAACUCUACCUAAUUAGUUCAUAUGAUCAGCAAAAUCCAAAAAACUUGAAAAAAGAAACAAAUUUGUACUCUCUUGCAGAAAUAAGUUUUGUCUUUUGGAAACAACCUCUCUAUCUCCACGAAGUAGGGGUAACAGUCUACGUACACUCUACCUCCUCAAACCUCACUUAUGGGAACUACACUGGGUAUGUUGAUGUUGUUGUUGUUGAAAUAAGCACAAAAGACUGGACUCUCACUAAAACUUCCGUAAAGAUCAAAUUCUUAAGUUUCAUUCUGCAACUAAAAAUCCCGAAAAUGAAGAAUCAGAUUACUCACAUUGACAAAAGUGGGGUAAAAAAUAACUUGAGCUUUGCUAUUCAAAACAUCAACAACUUCUUCAAUCCCAGAAAGUCUUUUAAUUGCCUUUAAAUGCCUAGCACUAUUUUUUUAAGAAGAAAUUACUGAACAACCUUAGUGAAAAUUCCAAAUUCGCCAUUGCAUCCAACCCCCGUCCCAUCCCUGGACUAUCCUACACCAGCUACCCUUAAAUCCUCACCCAUCCAUCCCAUUGAGUUUUGCUGGAUUACAACGGCCCCCAUCCCAUCCCUUGACUAUCCUAUACAAAAUGGAAAAUCUCUUCUCCAAGGAGUUAGGAGACAAUAAUCGACAUAACUAUGUCAUCUUAUAUAGGGACAAAAUGAAUACAAUCUCACCCUGUGGUCUUCGAAUCUAUAGUAGACAAACGGUAAGUAAAGAGAUAUUGUAUAACUGCACCAACUAUUCAUUAUUUCUGAAGUAAUACAGUGAGUGCAUCACAUGUUAAAGAAAUAAAAUUAAGUUUAUUACUUUUAUUCAUGAACAUGUACAACUCUUGAGAUGAACUUUAAUUUGUCAGUAAACUAUAAAAUAGAGGUAAUUUGUAAAGGCUUAAGCCUAUUGGAUUAGAUUAUGUUCUCCGUGGGGGCAGUUUUUCUUCAACUCCAAAACUGUAUACGUCACUUCUGGUGGUUAUAUGAUUUACAUAUGAGAGGCGACAAUUAGAAGCUGAGAAAAGAAAUGAUCUCAGGUUACAUGACAGAACAAACCAAGUAAUGUUACACUCCCAAUUUCUUUCAGGACACAUAGUAUUGAUAUUUGCGAGCAUGAAAGACUGAAGGAUUAAACAGAGGAGAUAACUCUUAAGAGAGACCUCAUCAAGAACUUAAGAAAAUUUGUGUGAUAAUUUAACAAAUUUAGCGAGGCUAAUUGAUGAAGGAAGUCUAUUCACACUAUAUUCAUUUUAGUGCACUUAUUGACUAAAUGUUUCCCAAGUUCGAAUGUGAGGCCUCUAUUUGAGGAUGUAAUAAAACAACAUUUACCAUUAGAACUAAUUGAGCAGCUUGUGUUAACCCUCUGUAUUUACCUGACGAAUAUGCUUUAAGGUGGAGGAAUUUUUUGCAGUAGUCUUCUAUUAAAACAUCAUUUAAGCUACCUAAAUGAAUGGACAACAUGUAGUUUUUCGACGCAGAAACAAAAAAUCUACCUAACAAAGAGACAGAUAUAUCAAAGAAGCCACAGGUCGAUAAUCAGAGUGUCCUAAAGAGUUACAUUUACAAAAGUUGAGGAGACUGGACACGCUGUCAAAUUAACUCAACACUGAUGCUGCAUUGAAAGUGAGAGUCCAUGUAAUGUGGAUACAAUUCAUUAAGUACACACAAAACAGUCAGCAACUAAUUUCAGUGAUGUGCAACAAAAUUCAUAUAACAUAGCCACCAAGUUGACCAUAAAAUCCAUCAAAACACAUUAAUGAGGAAUUCGUCUUACUUCAGUUUUGAAUUCCCCCGGCUUUUAAGUAUACAAGCCACAUUUUUACUGAAUUUUCUCUUCAAGUGCAGUAAAGUAGCUCAAAGAACAGAAAGCAAAGUUACAACUGACAACUACAUCGAGAAAGAGGCUACUAUGGACUGUCAAUUUUUACAUGUGAAUCCAAAAAUUAAGCUCGCAUAACAACGGGUAAUAUACCAAAUUCAUAUUAAAUUUUAGAUCAAACAACAUCAUUUAUCAUGCCAAAACAGUCUAGCUGUGCAACUUUUAAGCAAUUUGGAUACACUUAUAUCUAAAAAUUGGCUAAACUAUUGAUAAACGUACUAUCUAAUGCUGGAAAUAUGACAUAGUACAGUGAAUAUUGAUCAAUUUACUACCAUCGCUGCAUUUUGAUACUCCUUGAACAGAGAAACGGAUGGAAAUGGACCAGCCAAGCUACGCCUAAUUACACCAUCUCUAUCUUUUAACUACUUUUGUACUUGGCUUCCGAUUGACGCUCAGCUCAGGUAAAGCACAAGAACAAUUAGGAGUAAAUUGAAAUUGUAUAUUACCAGUGGUCAUAUACUCGGGAGUAGCACAACUGAAUUGUAUGGACAAAUCAUAAGAGGGCAACAGAAAUAUUGUUAAAACUUGUAGAAGACUAAAUUUUAAAGUAGUUUUAGAUACAGCAGCCAGCAAAAUGUUAGAUGAUUUGAAAUCCUGAUACAUAAUUUUAGCUUCUGGGCUGUGGAGAUAUGUCAGUCCUUUAGCUGCCUUGAGAGUAACCUUCAUUCGGAGAUUCUAUGAUAGCGGUUGGAAAUAAGCACUCCUCUGUUCAAGAUGUACCAAAGGUUUAUUCAAUGACAUUACACGGAUAAUAUUAGUGGAUGUCCUCAAAUUAGAUGUGGAUUCAAGAUUUCAAGUUUAUGGAUUUCUAUAAUGAACUAAGUUCAUAGUAAAAUAAAUUUCUUAUACAUGGUUUAGAAAAAACAAUUGGGUCCCCAUGAAUCUACAUAUCAUAUUGUGGAUCUGUUCUUGCGUUAAAUAUGCAGUUAUGGUUUCAUACAAACUAUACUUACUUCUGAAUAGAUGAUUUUCCAAACUUCCCCUCGGCAUGAAUUCGCACACCAGAAUCUUGUGUUCAUCUUCUAACCUGGCUCAGGUAAGCAAUUUUCGCCUGUAGUUUAAGUGUACAGAGAAAACAGUUAAUCAACUUAUCAAGAUCAAGAAUUAUAGGAAAGCUUCAAUGUCUUUGAUAAAACAAUCAUCGGAUAUUUUAAAGGGAAGAGUUUAUAUACCAAUCAUUCCUUGUGACCUUGAAAGCUUUCUUCAAGAAUUUCACUUUGACUUUGAGGAGUCAACUGAGCCGAUAAAUAUGAAUGUGAUCAUGGAAAUGAUGCCUAAUUAAUAUGUAUCUUUGUAUGUCUUCUGUCUGUUCCUAGUAAAAGUUGCACCAGUUUACAUCAAUUAAGUAAUAAACUGAAUAAGUUAUAACAUGACUAUCUUAUAGCUUAUUUCAAACUGAACACGUACAUCUUCAUUACGUUUUUUAAAAUUUAGUAGAAAUAGAAAUGUAUAAUGGUACCUGAUAAGCAAAUCAAAUUCGUGACUAUCUUCUUGGCUCAUUCGUUAUGGAUGAACUUGAAGUUUCAUAAUGAACUUACUUUCAGCAGGGUUAUAAGCAUCCAGAUCAUAAAAUUCUUCAGGGGCAAAUGGUAUAGGAACAAAUCUCUGAGCCAAUUUUGUAAUUCCCUCAAGGCGGUAACUAUUGAUUGAAAUCUGCAUUUUUCCAUAGCUUUCAGAUAAAUGAAUAAGAUGUGUUAAAAAUGGAGAUUGUUUGCUAUUUAUAUACCGAAACUUGCACUCUAUGAAAAAUAAAUAACUUAUCUUACAAAGAAUUCUUCAUGUUCAAAGAAAGUCUCCCGUGUCAUAUAAGCAAAUUAUAGUUUAUGUUUAUCUACAUAUACAUAUGUUAGUAUUCAACAUUAUAAUUCAACUGCAUAUCCAACUGGAAAAUUAAAUCAACUAAAGAGGGAGAAAUACUGGACUUUCCACAUAUGAGAAAGGGUUGUGAAAAUAGGGUAACUCUAAUAGCUAAUCCUUCCAGUUGAAAGUGUUUUUGAGAAAAAAAAUCAAAUUAAGUUCGAUGUACCUGAUAACGCUCAAUGUUCCCUGCAUGGCAUCUUCUCAAUUUCUUUCCUUUCCUUUCUUCUCCAAGUACUUGUAAAGUCCUAUUUAUGAAAAAUUAACAAAUUGAAAAAACACCCACAUCAAGAACAAAAGCGGAAGAAACACUACAUUUCAAUAAUCAAAAGCACAAAAAAUUGAAAUACAAAGCGGGACAACGGAGAAGAAGAGGAGUAAACGACCAUAACAACAACAUCCAAUCAAGUUUAGAUUCAGUACAUGCAACAUUACCACAACCUAAACACCAAAAUUGAUGAAUAAAAAAAAGUCGGAACUCAUCAAAUGAAAAAAUCGACAAAACAGAUCUAAAGUCAAAAGGCAAAACAAAAAUGAGAAGAAAGAAGGAAGGGAAGAAGCAGUGCAUACCUAGGAAGGUAUGCAAUUUAACUGAGAAUUUCAUAUGAGGGCUUGCAAAACCCUUCCAUUUUGCAGAGCAUUUUUUCUUGGGACAGAGAAUGGAUGCAGAGGAACAGGGAUAUAUCACAUAGCUAGGACACGUGUUUCACAGAUGAAUAUACAGAUACACAUUAGUUAGAAAGCAAUGAGUCAAAUUACCAAAUUAACCCUAUUGGUACAAUUAACUUGAAUUUUGGUACAACUUGUAUAUGUUGUGUUAGUCCGAACUCUUGUUGGCUGUAGAAGGACACGUGUAGCCCACGUGUUUAUUCAAUAGUGAAUAGGGCUUAAUGGUACAGUACAAUUUUUUAUACUAUUGGUACAACUUUGUAGAGCUGUGUUGGUACUCUUCUUGUUGGCUUAUAUAUAAGGGUAAAGAGCUGUGUUGGUACUCUUCUUGUUGGCUUAUAUAUAAGGGUAAAGAGCUGUGUUGGUACUCUUCUUGUUGGCUUAUAUAUAAGGGUAAAGAGCUGUGUUGGUACUCUUCUUGUUGGCUUAUAUAUAAGGGUAAAGAGCUGUGUUGGUACUCUUCUUGUUGGCUUAUAUAUAAGGGUAAUAUAUAUACUCCCUCCGUCCCAAUUUAUGUGGCACCCUUUAUUUAUAGUCUGUUCCAAAAAACAAUGUCAUCUUACUAUAAUUAGAAACAAGGGAAAAGACUCAAAUAUGUUAUUGAAAUUUGAGAAAAGACUCAUUUAUGUCGUCCGUUAAAAGUUUGGUUCAUCUAUGUCAUUUUCGUUUGAGAAAAAACUCAUCCAUAUCAUUAGUUGUAAACUAAAAAUAAUUUUGGUUUUGUAAGAUCAUUUUAUACACGUGGUCAAUUAUGAUUUGGCCAUGUCAUCAAUUAAAUCAUUUCUAUAGAAGAGAAAAGGUUCAAAUAUGUCAUCGAACUUUGAGAAAAACUCAUUUAUAACAUCCGUUAAAAGUUUGUCUCAUCUAUGCUAUUUCAGUUAAUAAAUAAUGGCAUGAAUGAGGUUUUUCUCAAAUGAAAAUGGCAUAGAUGAGCCAAUUUUUUAACGAAUGACAUAUAUGACCUUUCUCAAAGUUCGAUGGCAUAUUUGAGUUUUUUCACUAGAAACAAUUUCAUUUAAAAUUCACUGUUAUCCUUAAUGAAAUUAUUUACAAACACACAAAUAUCUAAGGAUUGUUUUAAAUCACAAGUUUAAAAGUCUUUUUUUAAAAAAAUAAAUAUAUCGUGUCAAGUUAAACAAUGCCACAUAAAAUGAGACGGAGAGAGUAAUUGUUAAUGCAAGAGGAAGCUGCUCGGGAAGUUACGUGUAUGAUGUUGAAGUUAUUUGACAUGCAAUUGAGGUGAUCCUAUAAUCUUCCAGUAGUUAUGACUAGUAAAAUCACUCAAUUUAUAAAAUAAUACUUAAAAUAUAUGAGUCAUUAAAACUAAAACACUAUAUUAUCUUACAUAUAAGAUUACAUAUAACAAACAUUAAUAAUGUAAGUAAAAAAAAAUUUGAAUAUGUUAACAAAUUUUUGAAUUUUUUCCUCAGACAUAUAUCACAAUUGUAAAAUCUAUGCAACUUAAAUGUGUUCUUGUUCUUACGAAACGCCUUUGUGUAUAUAUAUUCUUAUUUUAUUCUCUCUUUUUUUCCUUUUAAUGAUGAUUAAAUAACCAUUAAUUUAUUAUUUCCUGAAUAAUUCAUUCAUUAGAUGUUCUUGAGUUUAUGUGAUAAUGACAAAUAAUAGUAUAGAUUCUUUUAAGGAAUUUUUUACUGUACCUUCAACAAUUUCAUGAUCAGUAGAGAAAACUUGCAUGAAUACUCAAUUAACAUGUGUUGUUUAAUCUGUACUAACAAAUACUUAAAACAAUAACUUUGUAGAAACAUAAACACAAGUUUAAAACAUGUACUCAAAAACAAUAAUUAAUAACAUAAGCAUAAAUUAAUGAUUGUAAAAAAAUAUACCAGGAUCUGUAAUAAUAGGAUGAAACAGAAAGGAAAAAACUGUACACGAAUAUUUAAUUGUGCAGAUUAAGAAGAAGAAGUUCAAAAUUUUCGUUUUUUUAAAAUGAGAGGAAAUCACUCUAUUUAUAGCUAGACAACAAAGGGUAGUGUGAACAAAUGUUUAUUGUGCCUUAUCGAAAAGGUCACAACUCUUUGGAAAAGUUACAACUGUUUGGAAAGGUCAUAACCUUUCAUAAAAGACACAACUUUUCAUAAAAGUCGCAACUCUACAUAGAAGUUACAACUUUUCAUAAAAGUCGCAACUGUUCAUAUAAGUCGCAACUUUUCAUAAAAGUCACAACUUUUCAUUAAAGUAGCAAAUUUUUAUGAAAGGGGAAGGAUAGUUUUGUAAAUAUAUUAAUUAAAAAAGGAAUCAUGGUUUGUGAUGGCGCCACGUAGGCAGGCCUAGGAUUCUCUUUUAUAUAUAUAUAUGAUAUAUGAUAUGAUUAUUUACUGUGGUCGUUUUCUGAUAUGAUCACAAUAAGAUAUAACCGUCUAUUAUCUUUUAAACUUGUUUUUCUUUUUAGUUUGCAAUAUAUUUUGGAUUGGUAACAUUAGUAGUAUUAAAUUGUUAACAGCACUAGUUUGCAAUAUUUUUGGUUUCUACAAACAUUAUUUGCACAUAUUGAAAGAAAUAUAUAUGAUAUGGUUUCAUUGAAUUAUAUCCUCUACAUAAGCAGUGAAGACAAACAAAGUACUAAUGUUAUUUAAAUUGUCUCUAAAAUUUUGAUGAUUUAACAAACUUUGAGAUCUAACGAACGACCAGAUUCCAAGAGAGAUUGAGAGUUCCGUUUAUGAAAAAAACAGCGGUCUAAAAGCUGCAACACCUGCUGUGGUUGGUGCACGUAUUUUGCAGCAGACAUUCAGCCAAUAGCAGGGCAUUGCUUCAAGAGUUUGGGUCCAUCCUAUAAUACACCUCUUUGACAUUGACACAAACUCAAGUUUUUGCAAUAUAAAAAUUCACAACAGCAAAAGUCAUUCUCUCAGGGAAAUAUUUCUCGAUAAAUGAUAGAGUUAUCAUCGUUCUUAUGUGUUUUUAGGGCUUAUAUUUCUGUGCUUAUACUUGUAAGAUCUAUUCCUACGUUAUAAAGGAAUUAGAUCAUUUGAAGUUUUUUCUGAGUAUUCCGAGUUAUAUCUAGAGUUAGUUAUGUUGUAUUCUUGAAUUCUAGAUCAACUAUAGCUAGUUGAUUUAGUGGGUCAUAGAGUUAUUGCUUAGUUUUUGAGUAACAGAGUUGUUACUAUGAGGGGAAGGGAUUAAGAGUUUAAUUCCUAGGUUACAAGAGUUUGUAAUCUGAAGCUUUGCACUUUUGAUGAUAAUGGAGUUGGGUUAAAUCCUGUGAGACAGACCGUGGUUUUUUCCUCCCUUGAACAAGGGGCUUUCCACGUAAAACUCUUGUAUUUGUUUUAAUUUGUGUUAUUUAUUUUCCACACAAUUUUUCUUUCAAGGGACUUGGUCCAUUGACCGUUAGUGGACGCAUACAUUCUAUGAGUACUAAUAAGAUUGAAAAAGAAACCACUAAGAAAAAGUUAGGGUUAAAUCCAUCAAAUGGAAUCCUGGAGCCACCUCUUGAUGCUAAUAUUCUGGCCAAGAUCAGUAACAAAGAUAUAAUGUAAUCUGGUUUAACUAACCCUAAAGCUAGCUCAUCUCUGUGCAAUCUCAUAUAGGGCCCUAUUCAGGUGUGUCACAAUUAUGGUAGUAGCUAUAUGUGUCAUCUUUCUUCAAUUGUGUCUGUAAUGGUUUCAUGAACUGGAGUUCCAGGUUCUGUUGUAGAGAACCCUUCAGCAGCAGGGGAUGCUCCUAGUCCGUCGGAAAUUCUGAUUUCUGGGAUUUGCAAAGGAAGGUCAGGCAAUAUCUCAGGAGAAGCUUCACUUGCUGCGAGCAAUUUAGGUGCAUUGCUUUCAGAUGGCUUUUCUGACAUAGAAUUAGAGUUGUCUUUCUCUUCAUCAAAGACUUUUGCAAUUGCUGUAAGCUUCUGCCAUAUUGAAUCAUCAGUGGCUAAGAUUUCUCUAUUCUGAUUAAGGAAGUUGAGGAAGAAUAGGAGAAGAGCGAAGCCUGCUGAUACACCAGCUAUGAGGAAAAGUCCCUUAAACCUAUCUAACGUGAGGCUAUCAGAUGUUAUAGCCGUUUCAUCUUUCUGUGGACAAUCUGUUUCAUUCCCAAACCAUUUCUGUAUUAUGUUAUUCAUGAACUCUCCUUCCAUCACCUUCAAGACUGCUCUUGAGACGUCAGGUACCAAAGGAGAUCCUUUUGGAAAUGCCUGCAAUAAAAGAUUAGAUGAUUGAGUAAACAACAAAUCAUUCUAAAUAUAUGUUAACAGUGUCUGAAACAUCAGUGGAGUGUACAAUCUUACAAACCCAAAACCGGCAGCCUUGUAUGUCUGGCCGACCAUAACAUACUUCCUGCAGUACUUGUUGAGGAAGAGUCUGAGAUAAGGUAGUUCAUCAACAAUUGCACCUACACCUCCAUUUUUGCUUCCUCUUGAGAGGGCUUCAUCAUAUUCUUUCAAUGUGAUAUAACUUCUGAACUUGGAGCUGUCAAAUUUCAUGCGCUUUAUGAAGACAUCUUUGACAAAGGAACCUUCUUGGUACCCAACAUAUUCUCCAUUCUUGAUGAGAUCAUUGAGGUCUGUUAUAGUAGGUUGGAGCUGUUGCAGUGUCAACAUAGAUGUUAAGCUGGCUGUAUAACUUGAUGUCAGCACCAGAACCACAAAAACCCACACAAUCAGCAAAAAUCUUGUUAAGUUACUUGUUACCCUCUCUCCUGCAACAACCAGCCAUAACAUAUUCUCCAUUCUUGAUGAGAUCAUUGAGGUCUGUUAUAGUAGGUUGAAGCUGUUGCACUGUUAACAUAGAUGUUAAGCUGGCUGUAUAACUUGAUGUCAGCACCAGAACCACAAAAACCCACACAAUCAGCAAAAAUCUUGUUAAGUUACUUGUUACCCUCUCGGCUCGCUAAAAUGGUCACAUCACCUACAACUGCAUCAUAGUCCUGGCUCAAGCAAACAUUGAUUAUUCCAGUAUGUAUAGUUGAUUGUAAUAGCAGAAAAUAGAUAUCGAAGUCCCAAAAAGGACCAUGUUAGUAAGAUAUAGAGCCAAAGAGGUUUAUUGGAACAGAGAUUAUAUAUUACCUGAGAAGUGAUCUUGUGAACAAGAUCAUCAUAGUAUGGAAGAGUGAGGGGAUCUUGUAUUGGAGAUGGAAUAAAUUCGUAAGGGAGAGCAUAUGGCAAAGAUAGGAUGACUUCUUUGAAGACAUCUGCACAGAAACCAGUUGCUGUUACUGCUUGUGUUUUUGAAUCUCUUUCCACUUUAAUGAGUUGCUCCAGCCCUCCUUUGAGAGGAACUCCAACCCUUAACUUCUUCCCACUUGUGGGCAUUUCCCAGCCUCUUGGAACAAUAGUUGAUUCACCAGGCCAAAAAAUGGUUCCUAGUUGCUCAUUAUUACACUUAACUGCUGUUUUACCACUGUUUUACUAUUCAUCUUCAGUUUAUGCGAAAUGCCAUCCUUCUCUGUCCAGAAUCCAACGCUUCUCUCUCCUUUCCCAAUUAUAUUCACAAUCUGAUAUGGGAUUGGCUGCAGUUCUCCAUUGAUGAUACGGAAAUCACCACUUAAUCCUUGUUUUAGCACUGUGUUUCGCAUAGAGUCAAUGAGCAGAGAUCCCACUGCUGACGUUCCAAGUGCAUCUAAGUCUGUUAAGUUCUCUCUGGUGUCUGGUUUCUUUAAUUUUGGGAUAGCAGUAGUGCCCACUUUAUCUAUUGCUUCUGCUAAUGAGGUGAUGCUAUCGUAUGCCCAUAGCCCGAAAACAUUGAGUUCUAUUUGGUCCAUGUCUGGAUACUCUUGACGGAAUCUCUUUCUCCAUCUUUUCGUGUAAUUGUUAAGCUGAUUUGAUCUUGGAAUAUAAGGUUUUAUACCAAGAACACCUUGCAUUGAUGACUCAAUGACUGAAUGAUCUACUGAGUCCAGAAGACUCGUUAGCACAUCUGUGAUGAUCCAUGCAUAUCCACUGCUCAUCAUCCCGGCUUCUUUGGCCUUGAGAAAAAGGCGGGAGGCAAGAUAUGGUCGCAAGUGCACGACGAACACCCUGGUCUGCUUUGUAUUCAUAUUGUAUAACUCCUUGAGAAUUUGAUCAUCAUUGGCUGACGGAGAAAUAACACUUCUAUAGGAGACUAAAGUGCUGAUUUCCAGUAAGGCAUCAGUCAAAUGUGGAACUAUCCCGAACCCAUAGGGGCUAUCCUCAUAGAUGACCACAACCUCUCUCCAAUCAAAUUUUUUAACAAGUGCUGCAAUGGCCUUAGUCUGGCUGGAAGAAGGCAGUGCUGCUCUGAUGAAGAAGGGAUUUUCCUUGACUGUAAGUAAAGGACUUGUUGCUGGAGAAAUUAUAGGGACUUUUGUUCUGUUCCCUAAGUCAAUCACAAAAUCAGUUUGUGUUGACAUUUGUGGCCCAAAAAUAGCUUGUACUUGGACAUCCUUUAGCAAGUAUAUGGCUGCACAUACACAAUCAGACAAUAAGAAUUUACCCAAAGUAAGAGUUUAAUAGAAGUGAAUCAUGGAACUGAAUUUACCAGCAGAUGUUGCUUCAACAUCAUCUUUCUUGGAAUCCUUGAUAUGAGGAACUAUCCUUAUGGCACCGCGACUAGUGUUGGCAUGAUAAUCUUCAAGUGCUAGUAAGAUAGAUAUGUGCAUUACUUUUCCCUACAUCUGUUUCCUAGAUCAAGAAUUAUACCCACAUCCACCUUUACAGCACUAGUGUUAUUAUCUUCACCUCUUAUUGGAAUUACAUAGUGGUAAAAGCUAAUGAUGGAGAUAAGUUGAAUGAAAAGAAUUAGAAAGUGGCAUCUUGGAUUAUGCAUUUGAAAAAACUCUGGUAGCAAGUAGUCUGAGAGAUGGGCAACAAGCAGUUGUGCUUGUGCAAGAUAACCACACAUUCAGAAUGAUAAAUUUUCCUAUAAUUAAUAAGACCAAACUCCAUAAAUGCAGAAACAAAAGUCAAAGAACAAAUGGUUGAAAAUCAAGUAUUCG